RNAcentral lists this ribosomal RNA (878 nucleotides) under metagenome. Its description in RNAcentral is "bacterial SSU rRNA". It matches the Rfam family "Bacterial small subunit ribosomal RNA", at positions 483 to 1361 of the family's 1533-position model. The record is from RNAcentral.
GGAAUAAGCCACGGCUAAUUCCGUGCCAGCAGCCGCGGUAAUACGGGAGUGGCAAGCGUUAUCCGGAAUUAUUGGGCGUAAAGCGUCCGCAGGCGGCCCAGAAAGUCUGUUGUUAAAAAGUGGAGCUCAACUCCAUCCAGGCAAUGGAAACUACUGGGCUAGAGUGUGGUAGGGGCAGAGGGAAUUCCCGGUGUAGCGGUGAAAUGCGUAGAUAUCGGGAAGAACACCAGUGGCGAAGGCGCUCUGCUGGGCCAUAACUGACGCUCAUGGACGAAAGCUAGGGGAGCGAAAGGGAUUAGAUACCCCUGUAGUCCUAGCCGUAAACGAUGAACACUAGGUGUCGGGAGAAUUAUCCCUCUCGGUGUCGUAGCCAACGCGUUAAGUGUUCCGCCUGGGGAGUACGCACGCAAGUGUGAAACUCAAAGGAAUUGACGGGGGCCCGCACAAGCGGUGGAGUAUGUGGUUUAAUUCGAUGCAACGCGAAGAACCUUACCAGGGCUUGACAUCCUGCGAACCCCUGAGAGAUCGGGGGGUGCCUUCGGGAACGCAGUGACAGGUGGUGCAUGGCUGUCGUCAGCUCGUGUCGUGAGAUGUUGGGUUAAGUCCCGCAACGAGCGCAACCCACGUCUUUAGUUGCCAGCAUUUAGUUGGGCACUCUAGAGAGACCGCCGGUGAUAAACCGGAGGAAGGUGUGGAUGACGUCAAGUCAUCAUGCCCCUUACGUCCUGGGCUACACACGUACUACAAUGCUACGGACAAAGGGCAGCAAACUCGCGAGAGCUAGCAAAUCCCAUAAACCGUGGCUCAGUUCAGAUCGUAGGCUGCAACUCGCCUACGUGAAGGAGGAAUCGCUAGUAAUCGCAGGUCAGCAUACUGCG